UGAAGCUAACGCGUUAAGCACUCCGCCUGGGGACUACGGUCGCAAGACUAAAACUCAAAGGAAUUGACGGGGACCCGCACAAGCGGUGGAGCAUGUGGUUUAAUUCGAUGCAACGCGAAAAACCUUACCACUCCUUGACAUGGAGAUUAGAUCCUUCUUAACGGAAGGGCGCAGUUCGGCUGGAUCUCGCACAGGUGCUGCAUGGCUGUCGUCAGCUCGUGUCGUGAGAUGUUGGGUUAAGUCCCGCAACGAGCGUAACCCUCAUCCUUAGUUGCCAGCGGGUUAUGCCGGGCACUUUAAGGAAACUGCCAGUGGUAAACUGGAGGAAGGUGGGGAUGAUGUCAAGUCAGCACGGCCCUUAUGGGGUGGGCUACACACGUGCUACAAUGGUGACUACAAUAGGUUGCGAUGUCGCAAGGCUGAGCUAAUCCGUAAAAGUCAUCUCAGUUCGGAUUGUCCUCUGUAACUCGAGGGCAUGAAGUCGGAAUCGCUAGUAAUCGUGGAUCAGCAUGCCACGGUGAAUACGUUCUCGGGUCUUGUACACACUGCCCGUCACGCCAUGGAAUUGCUACCCAAA
Molecule: ribosomal RNA, 577 nt
Filed under: uncultured Anaplasma sp.
Lineage: Bacteria; Pseudomonadati; Pseudomonadota; Alphaproteobacteria; Rickettsiales; Anaplasmataceae
Description: bacterial SSU rRNA
Rfam family: Bacterial small subunit ribosomal RNA
Source: RNAcentral